CCAAUAGCGUAUAUUAAAGUUGUUGCAGUUAAAAAGCUCGUAGUUGAAUUUCGGGACCAUCAUGUCGGUCGUGCCUCGGUACGUACUGGCAUUGUUGGUUUCUCCCUUCUGACGAACCAUGAUGUCAUUUAUUUGGUGUUGUGGGGAAUCAGGACUGUUACUUUGAAAAAAUUAGAGUGUUUAAAGCAGGCUCACGCUUGAAUACAUUAGCAUGGAAUAAUGAAAUAGGACGUUUGAUUCUAUUUUGUUGGUUUCUAGGAUCGACGUAAUGAUUAAUAGGGAUAGUUGGGGGCAUUAGUAUUCAAUUGUCAGAGGUGAAAUUCUUGGAUUUAUUGAAGACUAACUACUGCGAAAGCAUUUGCCAAGGAUGUUUUCAUUAAUCAAGAACGAAAGUUAGGGGAUCGAAGACGAUCAGAUACCGUCGUAGUCUUAACCAUAAACUAUGCCGACUAGGGAUCGGAUGAUGUUAAUUUUUUAAUGACUCAUUCGGCGCCUUACG
RNAcentral lists this non-coding RNA (499 nucleotides) under uncultured Glomus. Its description in RNAcentral is "SSU rRNA". It matches the Rfam family "Eukaryotic small subunit ribosomal RNA", at positions 591 to 1092 of the family's 1831-position model. RNAcentral also lists the same sequence under 1 other name. The record is from RNAcentral. Lineage: Eukaryota; Fungi; Glomeromycota; Glomeromycetes; Glomerales; Glomeraceae.